RNAcentral lists this transfer RNA (75 nucleotides) under Coraliomargarita sp. TMED73. RNAcentral's name for it is "tRNA-Val". It matches the Rfam family "tRNA". Rfam says of the family: Transfer RNA (tRNA) molecules are approximately 80 nucleotides in length. Lineage: Bacteria; Pseudomonadati; Verrucomicrobiota; Opitutia; Puniceicoccales; Coraliomargaritaceae. The record is from RNAcentral.
GGACCGUUAGCUCAAAAGUAGAGUGCUCGCUUGACAUGCGAGAGGUAGUAGGAGCGUUACCUACACGGUCCACCA